This 495-nucleotide ribosomal RNA is filed under the name uncultured bacterium. Its description in RNAcentral is "partial 16S ribosomal RNA". It matches the Rfam family "Bacterial small subunit ribosomal RNA", at positions 28 to 507 of the family's 1533-position model. The record is from RNAcentral.
GACGAACGCUGGCGGCGUGCCUAAUACAUGCAAGUAGAACGCUGAAGGAGGAGCUUGCUUCUCUGGAUGAGUUGCGAACGGGUGAGUAACGCGUAGGUAACCUGCCUGGUAGCGGGGGAUAACUAUUGGAAACGAUAGCUAAUACCGCAUAAUAGUAGAUGUUGCAUGACAUUUACUUAAAAGGUGCAAUUGCAUCACUACCAGAUGGACCUGCGUUGUAUUAGCUAGUUGGUGGGGUAACGGCUCACCAAGGCGACGAUGCAUAGCCGACCUGAGAGGGGGGUCGGCCACACUGGGACUGUGACACGGCCCAGAGUCCUUCAGGAGGGAGCAGUAGGGAAUCGUCAGCAAUGGACGAAAGUCUGACCGAGCAACGCCGAGUGAGGGAAGAAGGUUGUCGGAUCGGAAAGCUCGGUUGUAAGAGAGGAACGAGUGUGAGAGUGGAAAGUUCACACUGUGACGGUAUCUUACCAGAAAGGGACGGCUAACUACGUG